CAGUGGCUUAGCUUCCUCUAGACCAGAGGACAUUCUGUGCUCCCAAAACAGAAUGCUACACAUGGGAACAAGGGAAAGGGAGGCUUUGAGAGGUCAGCCAGCAAGGCCCCUGCUUCAAGCCUAAAACCAACGUAAUUAGGUGAAGAUUGAGCAGGAUAAGGCUUUGCAAGGAACAUCCCUGCCACGUCAAGGUGAUCCCAGCAUUGCAAGUUCUCCCCUGAGGCGCAGAGCCCAGAAGACAUCAGCGUGGAAUGAAAAGAGUCAAGGAUGGAGCCCCCACAGGACUUAGCAAGAAUGCCAAGUACAUCGUGCUGUCUCCUCCCGCCUCCAUGCUGGUGCAUAUGCCGCCCUUCCUCCCUGGAAUGCCCUCGUCUUCCAGAGGCUGCUUCAUUUGAGAGCCUUCUCUGAUUCAUCCAGGCAAAUUAACAGAUAAUAACUGUUUUAGCUACUAAAUAUUAAACUCUCUCAAGGCAGGGUC
This is a long non-coding RNA of Homo sapiens (human), 478 nucleotides long. Ensembl annotates it as SMIM2 intronic transcript 1. Its record names the gene SMIM2-IT1. NCBI's taxonomy places the organism in Eukaryota, Metazoa, Chordata, Mammalia, Primates, Hominidae. The record is from Ensembl.